This 90-nucleotide transfer RNA is filed under the name Ralstonia pseudosolanacearum. RNAcentral describes it as "tRNA-Ser". It matches the Rfam family "tRNA". From Rfam's summary of the family: Transfer RNA (tRNA) molecules are approximately 80 nucleotides in length. Their secondary structure includes four short double-helical elements and three loops (D, anti-codon, and T loops). Further hydrogen bonds mediate the characteristic L-shaped molecular structure. tRNAs have two regions of fundamental functional importance: the anti-codon, which is responsible for specific mRNA codon recognition, and the 3' end, to which the tRNAs corresponding amino acid is attached (by aminoacyl-tRNA synthetases). tRNAs cope with the degeneracy of the genetic code in two manners: having more than one tRNA (with a specific anti-codon) for a particular amino acid; and 'wobble' base-pairing, i.e. permitting non-standard base-pairing at the 3rd anti-codon position. Lineage: Bacteria; Pseudomonadati; Pseudomonadota; Betaproteobacteria; Burkholderiales; Burkholderiaceae. The record is from RNAcentral.
GGAGGGGUGGGAGAGCGGUUUAAUCCAGCUGACUUGAAAUCAGCCGAUGUCGCAAGGCAUCCGCGAGUUCGAAUCUCGCCCCCUCCGCCA